AUUCUACGGAAGGAUUACGGUGAACCCUGACAUUCGUAACCAUAGAAUUUUGGGAUUUUCACUCUUUUGUCAGUGUCAAUAGUUGUUGAUUAGUUUCAGCAUCGACAAUAAGCCCUAAAGGGAAUCGCAAUUUUUUAACAGGACUUGUAUGCGGCACCACCAUUGAUGUUGGCUGGUCUGGUCUACUACUCAUGUGAAAGAAAGCAUGAUCAAUUAAGCCGCAAGAAUCCAGCAGACUACAUUAAUGAUGUUUGAAUGAAUACGAGAAUAUGUUGUAAUAAAUAGAUUAUUCGACAACAUG
This is a long non-coding RNA of Dendroctonus ponderosae (mountain pine beetle), 301 nucleotides long. RefSeq lists it as uncharacterized. The record is from RefSeq and is a predicted model, not a curated record. Lineage: Eukaryota; Metazoa; Arthropoda; Insecta; Coleoptera; Curculionidae. The transcript has 2 exons.